This 706-nucleotide long non-coding RNA is filed under the name Homo sapiens (human). RNAcentral's name for it is "HSALNT0388698". The record is from RNAcentral. Lineage: Eukaryota; Metazoa; Chordata; Mammalia; Primates; Hominidae.
CACUGAACGCUGGUCUGCCUUCUACGUCUUACCUUGUCAUUUAAGACCACAUACAUAUAUGUCUGUAAUUAUUUCCCUUUAAAACUUUUAUUUAACCUCUCUAAUUUGUUGCUUUCUUUGUUAUAUUAGAGAACAGAGUCUUCAAUUGCCAGUGAUUGUCUAUAGCUUUUACUUCCUCAAGACACCACUUUACGUUGUUUAUUCUGAUCCAGGCACAGUACAACUUCAUUUUAUUCUCCAAAUAAAAGACUGCUGAAGCUUCUGAGAAAAAGAAAAAAGCGAAGGAUCAUCUUUGAUCAUGCAGUGAGCUGAUUCCAAAAUGUGGACAAAAAGCAGACUCAAAGGCAAUGAUUCCGAGAAACAGUGAAUGUCACAAGGAGACACCUGGGCUCUUUAUAAAGAGGUCUCUCUCAGCCUCCCUGCGCUUAGGGACAGUGGACAGCACUGCAGCACUGCAGCACUGCACUUGGGGCCAUUUUAAACAGCGAAGUCACCAAAACCACGCAAAAAAAUGCUAAAAGCACAGUACUAAACAGACCAUGGAAAAGACAUAUGUACAGUAUGAGAAGGUAAAGUGUCUGUCUGACCUCAGUGGGGAGCAUAAGCACUGGAUGACUCAACGUUUUCACUUCUCUGUGCAUGUCCAAAAAUGACAAAAAUGACUCAGUGGAAGUACUCUGCCUGUUGAUUUGGGGGUUAAAAUACA